Molecule: unclassified non-coding RNA, 370 nt
Filed under: Hevea brasiliensis (rubber tree)
Lineage: Eukaryota; Viridiplantae; Streptophyta; Magnoliopsida; Malpighiales; Euphorbiaceae
Source: RNAcentral
AUUUUGCACUCCUCCUCUUGUAGUAAUUGGUGGAAACAGAACGUGGAAGUUGGCAAGUAGAAUCCCUCAAGCACAUACUACUGCUACUCAAAGCAGCCAUAUCUUAUGUUUUCUCCUCCUCUACUGAAACACAGAAUACCAAACAAAGCUUUCAAGAGCUGAAACGUAUAGAUUAAAGAUUGCGACUUUUUCUUAGUGAACGGUGAUGGUGAUAAUGGUGGAAAUUGUAGGGGUAAUCGCGGUGGAUAUAGCUUGCAGGAAGCACUGGAAAGGGACGGCGGAGCUACAGCAGUGGGUAUUGAAGGACAUGACGUCAGAUUUCCGAUCAAUAGGCGGCGGUGACAGUGACAGUGUCGGCUGCGACGACGAG